GACGAACGCUGGCGGCGUGCCUAAUACAUGCAAGUAGAACGCAGUUGCGAACGGGUGAGUAACGCGUAGGUAACUGCCUGGUAGCGGGGGAUGACUAUUGGAAACGAUAGCUAAUACCGCAUACUACCAGAUGUACCUGCGUUGUAUUAGCUCGUUGGUGAGGUAACGGCUCACCAAGGCAACGAUACAUAGGCGACCAGAGAGGGUGAUCGGGCAACCUUGGACUGGGACACGGCCCAGAAUGCUACGGGAAGCAGCAGGAGGGAAGCUUCGGCAAUGGGGGGAACCCUGACCGAGCAACGCCGCGUGAGUGAAGAAGGUUUUCGGAUCGUAAAGCUCUGUUGUUAAGGAAGCGGUACUUAACCAGAAAGGGACGGCUAACUACGUGCCAGCAGCCGCGGUAAUUC
Molecule: ribosomal RNA, 407 nt
Filed under: uncultured bacterium
Lineage: Bacteria
Description: partial 16S ribosomal RNA
Rfam family: Bacterial small subunit ribosomal RNA
Source: RNAcentral